RNAcentral lists this ribosomal RNA (497 nucleotides) under uncultured bacterium. RNAcentral's name for it is "partial 16S ribosomal RNA". It matches the Rfam family "Bacterial small subunit ribosomal RNA", at positions 28 to 507 of the family's 1533-position model. The record is from RNAcentral.
GAUGAACGCUGGCGGCGUGCCUAAUACAUGCAAGUCGAGCGAACGGACGAGAAGCUUGCUUCUCUGAUGUUAGCGGCGGACGGGUGAGUAACACGUGGAUAACCUACCUAUAAGACUGGGAUAACUUCGGGAAACCGGAGCUAAUACCGGAUGAUAUUUUGAACCGCAUGGUUCAAAAGUGAAAGACGGUCUUGCUGUCACUUAUAGAUGGAUCCGCGCUGCAUUAGCUAGUUGGUAAGGUAACGGCUUACCAAGGCAACGAUGCAUAGCCGACCUGAGAGGGUGAUCGGGCACACUGGAACUUAGACACGGUCCAGACUCCUACGGGAGGCAGCAGUAGGGAAUCUUCCGCAAUGGGCGAAAGCCUGACGGAGCAACGCCGCGUGAGUGAUGAAGGUCUUCGGAUCGUAAAACUCUGUUAUUAGGGAAGAACAUAUGUGUAAGUAACUGUGCACAUCUUGACGGUACCUAAUCAGAAAGCCACGGCUAACUACGUG